GACGAACGCUGGCGGCGUGCUUAACACAUGCAAGUCGAACGGAAAGGCCCUGCUUUUGUGGGGUGCUCGAGUGGCGAACGGGUGAGUAACACGUGAGUAACCUGCCCUUGACUUUGGGAUAACUUCAGGAAACUGGGGCUAAUACCGGAUAGGAGCUCCUGCUUCAUGGUGGGGGUUGGAAAGUUUCGGCGGUUGUGGCUGGAUUCGCGGCUUAUCCGCUUGUUGGUGGGGUAGUGGCUUACCAAGGCUUUGACGGGUAGCCGGCCUGAGAGGGUGAACGGGCACAUUGGGACUGAGGGACGGCCCAGAAGCCAACGGUAGGCAGCAGGGGGGAAUAUUGCACAAUGGGCGGAAGCCUGAUGCAGCAACGUCGCGUGCGGGAUGACGGCUUUCGGGUUGAAAACAGCUUUCGCCUGAGACGAAGCGUGAGUGACGGUAAUGGGUAAAGAAGCACCGGCUAACUACGUG
RNAcentral lists this ribosomal RNA (468 nucleotides) under uncultured bacterium. RNAcentral describes it as "partial 16S ribosomal RNA". It matches the Rfam family "Bacterial small subunit ribosomal RNA", at positions 28 to 507 of the family's 1533-position model. The record is from RNAcentral.